This 1476-nucleotide long non-coding RNA is filed under the name Dromaius novaehollandiae (emu). Its description in RNAcentral is "lncRNA (ENSDNVG00000005807.1)". Lineage: Eukaryota; Metazoa; Chordata; Aves; Casuariiformes; Dromaiidae. The record is from RNAcentral.
GCUUUUGCCGGCGGCGCCCGGGGCUGAGGCUGGCGUCCCGCCCGCAGCGCACGGUGCAGAAGAACGCCAAGUACAUCUGCCUGGCCAACAAGGACUGCCCCGUGGACAAGCGGCGCCGCAACCGCUGCCAGUUCUGCCGCUUCCAGAAGUGCCUGGCCGUGGGCAUGGUCAAGGAAGGUACGGCGGGGCCCGCGGGGCCUGGGGCGGCGGGCGGCCGCGCGCCGGGGUUGGCGGCCGCUGCAAGGUUUGCAUUKGCGAGCUCUGCCCCUGCCCAGCGCCGUGCCCGUGCCAGGGAGCGGUGCUGAGAACGGCCAAACUCGUUGCACGGGCAGACCCUUUGCACAGCCAAACUCAUUGCACGGCCAAGCUCUUCGCAAAGGCAGAGUCGUUGCAUGGCCAAACUUUUUGCAAAGCCAAAGUCGUUGCGUGGCAGAACAUAUUGCACAGCCAAACUCGUUGCAAAGCUGAAGUCAUUGCAGAAGCUGAACUCGYUGCAUGGAUGAACACCUUGCAAUGCAUUCGGCUUUGCGUGGCUGAGCUCAUUGCAAAGCCGAGCUCCCGGCACAGCCAGACCCGUAGCGCGGCUGGGCCGGGGGGUCCCUAUGGUGGGCCCCCUCCUCACGCCGCCUCCCGCCCGCAGUGGUGCGGACCGACAGCCUGAAGGGCCGCCGGGGCCGGCUGCCCUCGAAGCCGAAGCAGCCGCAGGACGCGUCGCCCGUCAGCCUCAUCACCUCGCUGGUGCGGGCGCACAUCGACUCCGUGCCCAGCGCCACCAAGCUCGACUACUCCAAGUUCCAGGAGUCGGUGCCGUGCCAGUUCGAGAAGGAGGACUCGGUGGACGUGCAGCAGUUCUACGACCUGCUCACGGGCUCCAUGGACGUCAUCCGCAAGUGGGCCGAGAAGAUCCAGGGCUUCGCCGAGCUGCCCCGCGAGGACCAGGACCUGCUGCUGGAGUCCGCCUUCCUGGAGCUCUUCAUCCUGCGCCUGGCCUACCGGUGAGACGGGGCGGCCGGUGCGGCGGGACGGGGCGGGUCGUGGGGUGCGGGGGUCCCCUGCGCUGACGCCGCCUGCCCCGCCGCAGCUCCAAGCCCGAGGAAGGCAAGCUCAUCUUCUGCAACGGCGUGGUGCUGCACCGGCUGCAGUGCGUGCGGGGCUUCGGCGACUGGAUCGACGCCAUCCUCGAGUUCUCGCAGAGCCUGCACCGCCUCAACGUCGACGUGCCCUCCUUCUCCUGCCUCGCCGCCCUCGUCAUCAUCACGGGUGAGCGGGGGGCCCCGCGCCGCCGCGUCGGUCCCGGUGCUGUCCCUGCCGUUGCRCCAGUCCUGGUCCCAUCCCUGCCGUUGCGUCGGUCCCGGUCCCCACCGCGAUGUUGCAUCGGUUCUGCUCCCUGUCCCCACCAUUGCAUCGGUCCCUGUCCCCAUCUCCCCAUUGCAUCGGUCCCCACCACACCGCUGCACUGGUCCCCAUCCCCACCAC